This 87-nucleotide transfer RNA is filed under the name Oscillospiraceae bacterium. RNAcentral describes it as "tRNA-Leu". It matches the Rfam family "tRNA". Rfam says of the family: Transfer RNA (tRNA) molecules are approximately 80 nucleotides in length. Their secondary structure includes four short double-helical elements and three loops (D, anti-codon, and T loops). Further hydrogen bonds mediate the characteristic L-shaped molecular structure. tRNAs have two regions of fundamental functional importance: the anti-codon, which is responsible for specific mRNA codon recognition, and the 3' end, to which the tRNAs corresponding amino acid is attached (by aminoacyl-tRNA synthetases). tRNAs cope with the degeneracy of the genetic code in two manners: having more than one tRNA (with a specific anti-codon) for a particular amino acid; and 'wobble' base-pairing, i.e. permitting non-standard base-pairing at the 3rd anti-codon position. Lineage: Bacteria; Bacillati; Bacillota; Clostridia; Eubacteriales; Oscillospiraceae. The record is from RNAcentral.
GCCGGUGUGAUGGAAUUGGUAGACGUAGCGGACUCAAAAUCCGCCGGUGGCAACACCGUGGGGGUCCGAGUCCCCCCACCGGCACCA